Pelobates cultripes (western spadefoot toad) is the source of this 576-nucleotide non-coding RNA. Lineage: Eukaryota; Metazoa; Chordata; Amphibia; Anura; Pelobatidae. The record is from the annotation of a GenBank genome assembly.
CCUGACCUCACAAAUCCCUAUAUCUAUAAUCCAACUUUGUGUGAGAAACUGCCUCAUGGCUGCAUUGGGGAUUCAACUCUAUAGUAAUGCCCCGUGAUUUGGAUUUUGUACGUCAAACAAGUGCUUAUAGGUGUGAUGGGCAGCUAUCCAUGACCAAACAGUAAUUUAUUCACAACUAAUGCAACUAAAUUAUAACAAAACAGAUUCACUUAUUGGCUUGCUUUGUUAAAAUUCCUUCUAUCUAGUAGGAAUGUGCAUGAGGAAAAUUUUCGGUUUGACACUUUGGAACUUCUCUUGCAGCCGCUUAGUAGAUAAUUCCCAAAAUUUUUUUACUUUCAGACAAAUUUACUACGAAGUAAAAACAUUACUUAGUAUUAGUAAAUAAUCUGCCCCUACUAUACAACAGGCUGCUCACUGUUCUAUAAAAAAGGUCCCCCCCACCUGCGCCACGCGAGUGGGGGCUUUUACAAUCGGUGUUAUGAGUCAAGUUACACAGCGUGGGAAAAUUCCAAAGAACUUUCCCACGCUGUGUAAAAUGACAGCACUCUGAUGGAUUUCAAGCUAACCAAUCAGAGU